This 253-nucleotide ribosomal RNA is filed under the name uncultured bacterium. RNAcentral describes it as "partial 16S ribosomal RNA". It matches the Rfam family "Bacterial small subunit ribosomal RNA", at positions 524 to 776 of the family's 1533-position model. The record is from RNAcentral.
GACAGAGGGUGCGAACGUUGUUCGGAAUUACUGGGCGUAAAGCGCGUGUAGGCUGUCAUGCAAGUCGGGCGUGAAAUCCCUGGGCUCAACCGAGGAAGUGCGCUCGAAACUGCAUGACUGGAGUUCCGGAGAGGAUGGUGGAAUUCUCGGUGUAGAGGUGAAAUUCGUAGAUAUCGAGAGGAACACCAGUGGCGAAGGCGGCCAUCUGGACGGAAACUGACGCUGAGACGCGAAAGCGUGGGUAGCAAACAGG